This 226-nucleotide ribosomal RNA is filed under the name uncultured Carnobacteriaceae bacterium. RNAcentral describes it as "partial 16S ribosomal RNA". It matches the Rfam family "Bacterial small subunit ribosomal RNA", at positions 114 to 334 of the family's 1533-position model. Lineage: Bacteria; Bacillati; Bacillota; Bacilli; Lactobacillales; Carnobacteriaceae. The record is from RNAcentral.
AACGUGAGGAACUUGCCCAUGAGCGGGGGACAACAUUCGGAAACGGAUGCUAAUACCCCAUAGGUGGAUUGGUCGCAUGACUAAUUCAUUAAAGGUGGCUCUGCUACCACUCAUGGAUAGCCUCGCGGCGUAUUAGCUAGUUGGUAAGGUAAUGGCUUACCAAGGCAGUGAUACGUAGCCGACUUGAGAGGGUGAUCGGCCACACUGGGACUGAGACACGGCCCAG